UACAAAUAGUUCUGAAUCCUUAUUAUGAGCAAUAUACUCAUCUGGCACCGAGAGGAUUAUUUUUUAAAAAUAUACAGCCUGUCUAGUUGUGAAAUAAAACAGAAAUCUAUGAAGUAACUAGAUUAUAAAAUUACCUCAUAUGAGAUAACAAAUGUGAAGCUUCUAGCAAAUGAUAAACACGUAAUAAAGUACUGUCACGUUAUGGAUAAUAUUUUCUAUGUUAAUAAUUAUUAUGAUCCAGCUAUACUUUUAAUAACGAGAAGAAGAAAUAAUAACUGCUGUAGCCACCAUAUAAUGAAUGAUUCUGUGUUAAGCUCUGAGCUGGGAGUUCUGUGCAUGUUUAGUCAUGAUAGCAAUUCUGCUAAGUCAGUAUUAUGAGUUCUCUUGCUCACAUGAAGAAACAGAAGGCCACAGAAGAAUCCCCCCCCCCCCACUCACCAGUCAUGGAAUAUACAAUGGACUCAAAGAGUAAGGAGCUGGGCAUGGUGGCACAGGACUGUCACCUCAGCUACUCUAGAGGCUGAGGCAAGUUCAGGCCAGUCUGAAGUACAGAGUGGCUUCAAGGCCAUCCUGGGCAGCUUGGUGAGAUUCUAUCUUGAAAUAAAGGGGGUGAAUAGUUCAGUGGUAGAAUACUUGGCCUGCAUGUGCAGGGUCCUGAGGUCAACCCCCAGUGUGUGCGGAGAGGAAUGGGGAGUCAAUUCUGCUGGAGAAAACUGGGAGGGGUCUCUGCGUGGAGAGUACACUGGGUGAUGCAAACCCUGCAGUCUGCAGUUAGAGAUAAAGUUUUUGAAACAAGUCUUUCCUGGGAGCAGUAAUACCUUGACCUAAAUUUUCAAUAAAAUGUGACUGUCUGGACAAUGGUCUUUUGAUGGUGGAGGAAGUAGGGCACAGGGGUGCCUGUACACCCUGUAGGUCAGGUCCACCCAGAACUGUGCUCAGGAAUGUAUGCAUGGUGAAUGCAUGACUCAGGUCUCUUCGCUCAAGAGGGACAGAAGAAGAGGGGGAAGGAGGCACGUCAGUAGAACAACAGCAAACCUGUUUGUCUGGAGUGGAGAAUUAGAAGAAAACAAAGUUAGAAUGUAUGUGUUCUACAAACCCCAAACCCGGCCCUUAAUGUAGCCCAAAGGCCCGGCGGCAUUACACAUAUAGUCCUAAAAGAGCUUCCCUUCACGGACAGCCCAAGCUGCCCACCUCCAAUACUACUUCCUGUUAAUCUCCUCGCUGAUCUUCACUUCCCAAGGUAACAGUGUUGGUUGACUUCCUGCUAUGUGCCAGCUGCUUUUCUGGUGCCAGGGACAGAGCAGUGAGCAAAAUAAAGAUCUCUUCAUUUUCCUUCUAUUGAGAAAGCAGAGACGUUAGAGUGGAACUGAGUAGGGAGAAACGUUGCAGAUACCCACACUUCUGGACGGUGGAUGUGGCGGGCGGGUGCUCCUUUUGUUAGGAUGAGAUGAGACCCAAAUGGUCUGUAGUCAGGCAGCCGGAUGGACAGAAAUGUAUUGGUCUCAUGAUUCUGAAGACUUCGGUACCAAGAUCAAGAUUUCAGCAAACGUUUUUCAUCAAACCUCCGAGAAGAGUAUGAUCUGUUCUUCCCUGCUGGCUCCUGAGAAUCUGUAGGUGUGGUCAUGCUCUGUCCCAUAGGACCCUCCCCACCUUCAUCUCCAGAGCUUUAGCUCAUCUUCGAUGAACACUUGACUGCAGACAGGACGUUUAGGUUAGUCCACAGGUCAGCUCACCGCCUAUCAGGGAGCCUGGUGCAAACAUUUGCAUUAAAGGGAAACAGUGACUCGAUCUUCGACCAAGGAGAUGCUUUCUCUCAAGAGUCUGGAGCCAUCAUGUGAGAGAAUUAGUCAGAGGAAUAGAAGCCAAGAGACACAGAGAGAGCGAGAAGCAGAAGUCAAUCUCCAUCAUUUCUGGGAUCAAGUUAACCUCACCAAGAAAGAUAGGCCCCCAAGGCUGCUGGUGCUGUUAGUAGCGCUCCACCAGGAGAGGAGUUUCAUGUCUCCCACCUCUGUAUCAGCAUCAAGGAAAUCUUCAAAUGCCAACACCUUCUGGUUCCAACUUGGAGCUUUGGGCAUGUGUCAUGUGCCACUGCCUACUUUUGAAAAAUCUCAGUUAUGGCAUCUUUUUGUGCAUGUCAAACUAGUGCUUGGCACAGGGCCUGGUACACGCUUGGAGACCAAUGAAAACAUGCAGAAAUACCCUCUGCCUAUGUCAGGUUGAAUGCCUGCAGCAUUGGAUGGAAACCCCUGAGUUCUAACUCUAAAACCACCUGCAUAGUAAUGUGGACAAGCAAUUUGGUCUUCUAGGUCUCCAUUCGCUCCGCUGUAAAUGAGGGUGUGAGAGUUGCUUCUCUGGUUGGGCUGUUGUGAGGUUUAAAAUAGCAGAUGUGUGAAAGUCUAUACACACCAAGCCCUCUGAGGUAUGAACUGUGCUAAAGCAGGAGGAAACUGUUAUGUGAAAGGGACAUGCUUUAAUCUCUUCCGAGUAGAAAGCAAAUGCACCUCAGGACACAAGGUUCUCUCUGACAGAAAGGCAGACAUUGAAGCGCUGGGUAAUAGCUCAGUGGGUAAGAACACUUGUUGUGUAACCAUGAGGACCUGAGUUCAGAUCCCCAGGGCCACUCACACUUUGCAGGGGUGGAAUGAGACAGCAGGAUCGCUGGGGAUUGCUGGUCACCAGACUAACGAGACAAACUAACAAUGACAGAAAAAGGUGAGCUCCAGGUUUAGAGACAGUGCGGAACUGUUUCAAGAGAUUAGGUGCAAGGGACAUGAUGGAGAACACCAGAUGUUUUCCUCUUCAGGCUUCUGUAUGCACCAUAUGCAUAAAUGCUCACAUAUAUGCAUGCAUGCAUAUACACACUCUCAUACAGAACACACACACACACACACACACACACACACACACACACACACAUAACCACACACACACACCACACGGCACAAAUUCCUCUUGGCCAGUUGGAGAGAAAUAAGUAGAUUUUACAGUUGGUUGGGCUUUCAGCUUAAAAAUCUUGCAAUUUUGGAAUUUAAAACUAAAUAGAGUUGUUUGUAUUAUUUUAAGAACCUCAAAAAGGAAUAUUACUAUUGUCAUACUAAUUUAUUUUGAACACAUCUCAAUCAAUUUUUUAUGAAACACCCCUUUAAUGAACGCCAUGACUUGACAGAAAGGAAAUGAGAAAAUACAGUUUGUGUUGUGAAAUGGAUGGUUCUCCAUGGUCCUGCACAGCUGUAUAAUGGGGCAGGCUGUAGCCUCUGGAUCUGCUCAGCACCGACCCUGGAAUUUCCAAAAUGUCAUAACAGCAUGCUUUCAAAAUAAUAUGCUCAGGCCCUACACCCCCAAGUGUGUAAUAUUGUCAGGGUGUUUUAUCUGCUGCCAUGGAUUGUGCACAUGACGAAUCCAUUUCCCCCAACAAACCAUCACGUAUGUCCACACUGUCUAUAAAUUUUGAAUUCUGACAGCUCUGCAAUUAUCCUCUGACGUCUGGAUUGGCCUGGGUUGAAUGUAAUCGGAGGGUGAUGUUCUUAAAGAA
Non-coding RNA from Peromyscus maniculatus bairdii (prairie deer mouse), 3532 nucleotides. The record is from RefSeq and is a predicted model, not a curated record. Lineage: Eukaryota; Metazoa; Chordata; Mammalia; Rodentia; Cricetidae.